Molecule: long non-coding RNA, 1128 nt
Filed under: Vulpes vulpes (red fox)
Lineage: Eukaryota; Metazoa; Chordata; Mammalia; Carnivora; Canidae
Description: lncRNA (ENSVVUG00000000867.1)
Source: RNAcentral
UUUUAUUUUAUUUGAAGGAGAGGCAGUGUUCCUUGUGACAUUCUAAUUUUUUUUGCUAGUUUUUUUUUUUUUUCCUCAAUCAAAAGGAGACAAAAUCACUUCAGAAUUUUCAUCAGGGAGAAUGAGCAUCAUCAGUGUGGAUAAUUUACUGCUCUUGGCUCUGUGACACGAGCACAGUCCCCUGUGUCACAGAGAGCCCUGAUCACAGAAGGGUGGGCUCUCUGUCAGAGAUGACUUCAUCAGGGAUUAAGCCGCUAUGAAAGAUGUUUUCAAAGGUGAUUCUAUAAUCCCCUGCUUCCUUCAUACUCUUUUGCAAUGUGGUCUAGACUCUCCCUCCAUCCAGAGAUGAACUCUUCCCCUCCCCUGGAAUCUGAUUUGACCUUGUGACUUCCUUUGGCCAGGAGAGUGCAGCAGAGGGAUGUUCUGUGGCUUCAGGGCAGAGCCUUAAGAGGCCUUGAAGCUUCCAUUUUCACCCAUUUGGAGCCCUGUGCCAUCAUGCAUAGAUGUCCCACUAUCUCGCUGGAAAGACCAUGUGGACAGAGAGGUGCCUGGGUAUUUUAGCCAUCUCAGCUGACAUGCCAUGUGAUGAAGGCCAUCUUGGAUCACCACUCCAGCUGAUCUGCAGAUGAUUACAACAACAAGAGUGAGCUCAGGUGAAACCAGAAGAACAGCCCAGCUGAGCCCAUUUCACGCUGCAGAAUCAUGAGAAAACAAAGUUGUUAUGCAGCAGACAUAAUGGAUGUGGUUAAUUCUCUGUGACUGGUCUGCCUGUGCAUCAAUAAAAGCAUAUUUGCAAUUUCAAGGCACUAAGAAGAUGAAGAGUUGAGCCUCUGCUCAGCAUCUUACUGAGCCGAUGUGCUUGUGGAGGAAGAAAACAAGACCUAUCUGAAAGGCAGUGGACCGAGUUAUUUUGCCUGGGUAAGCAGAGAAGGAAUAUAUCCUAGAAUUGGUGGAAAGGGGAUGCCAUGGGACAAAAGGAAAGUGAACAUGGAGCCAGCCUUCAGAAGUUGUGAGGUAUUGGGUUGUAUCUAUUCCCUGAGUGGACCUGGUCUAAUACAAAGCCGAUAUAGGAGAAGAGGCUGGAAAUGCAUCCAUUCACUACUCUAUUUACCUGUGGGAAGACUAUGA